UGGGGAAUAUUGCACAAUGGGGGAAACCCUGAUGCAGCAACGCCGCGUGAGUGAUGAAGGCCUUCGGGUUGUAAAGCUCUGUUUACAGGGACGAUAAUGACGGUACCUGUGGAGGAAGCCACGGCUAACUACGUGCCAGCAGCCGCGGUAAUACGUAGGUGGCAAGCGUUGUCCGGAUUUACUGGGCGUAAAGGGAGCGUAGGCGGAUUUUUAAGUGGGAUGUGAAAUACCCGGGCUCAACUUGGGUGCUGCAUUCCAAACUGGAAGUCUAGAGUGUUGGAGAGGAAAGUGGAAUUCCUAGUGUAGCGGUGAAAUGCGUAGAUAUUAGGAAGAACACCAGUGGCGAAGGCGACUUUCUGGACAAUAACUGACGCUGAGGCUCGAAAGCGUGGGGAGCAAACA
RNAcentral lists this ribosomal RNA (402 nucleotides) under uncultured bacterium. RNAcentral describes it as "bacterial SSU rRNA". It matches the Rfam family "Bacterial small subunit ribosomal RNA", at positions 355 to 774 of the family's 1533-position model. The record is from RNAcentral.